GAGCUUAAGGGAUAUCUAAGGAAUGAAUUUGGGAUUUUCAGUCAGUAUUAAGGAAAACCUCUUCCGAAGCUGUGGCAGCAAGAAUAAAUAGCUUAAAAGAAGUUAACAAGCUUUGAAUAGAAUCGAACCGUUAAGCUUUUUACAACUGAAUGUUUAUUUUUGCUCUGCAGAAGCAGUGAUAUGUAUUUAGUGAGGUGUUUUGGAUAUCUCUGAGCUUUAAAGCUGAAGUUCUGCAUGGUGGUGUGUUUGCUGCAGCUGAGGCUGGAGAACCGAUCUGGACUAACACAAACGGGUUUAUCUCUGCCAGGAUGCUUUGCACUCAGGUGAGUUCCCUGCUCAGGUUCAGCACCUGCUGCAGAAACAGCUCUACCAGCUCGAGGAC
This 382-nucleotide long non-coding RNA is filed under the name Manacus vitellinus (golden-collared manakin). Its description in RNAcentral is "lncRNA (ENSMVIG00005019845.1)". Lineage: Eukaryota; Metazoa; Chordata; Aves; Passeriformes; Pipridae. The record is from RNAcentral.